Molecule: long non-coding RNA, 1509 nt
Organism: Nilaparvata lugens (brown planthopper)
Lineage: Eukaryota; Metazoa; Arthropoda; Insecta; Hemiptera; Delphacidae
Exons: 2
Source: RefSeq, a predicted model, not a curated record
UUUCAUGAAAAUCUAUUACCACGUUUAGCUGUAAAUGCGCAACAUAUAAACAUAUAUAAACAUUUAAACAUAAAGAGAAAUGCCAAACCGUCGACUUGAAUCUUAGACCUCACUUCGCUCGGCCAACCAGAAAAUCAUUUAAUGUGAGGGUAAACAGAAAGCGGGAAAAUUGAAGAGAAGUUAGGUAUGAUAGAAUAUAAGCUUGUGUCAUUGUAGUUGAAUCUUUUAUUUGAUUGUAGCACAGGUUCACCUCGCAGAUCUCCGUUGCUGUUGGCAACUUUUUCUUUGCAGGAUGAUUAGGAUAACAUUAAAAAAUAGCAAUACACUUAUAUAAUAACUGAAAUUUAAUAAAACCCAAAUAGUAAUAAAAAUCUAUGUUGAUUUCACAUUUUAGUUCAGCAGGAGUCCGUGUUGAUUUCUACGCUAUAAUCUUAUCUUUCAUAUCUAUUCUUAUUUCUUAUCAUUUCAAAGUAAUGUAGUAGUUCUUGAAAGAAUGUAACAAUCUGUUUUAAAUUUAUCCAGGCUACUUUUAUCUCUCUAAAUGUUUGACUGUAUGUCGUUGAUGCAUUCUUCAAUGAUCAACAACUCCUUGAAAAUAUAUGUCAUACAAACAUUCAAUCUAUGCCGGCGCAUUUUAACUCAAUGAUAUCCUCAGCUCCUCUGGAUAUUGUAGUAUUAAGCGAGUCUUGACUCAAACCCAGUUUACAAUCGUAAGCUUACGGUAUUCUUGUUGAAUAUUUACUCUUAGGAACGACCAUUAGUAAAGGUGGCGGGGGAAUGAUUAUCUAUGUAAGAUACUCUUUUCCGGCCCUGAGUGGUAAUGUCUCUGAAGCCGGUGCACUCUCAUUCUCCCGAAUUCCUUCUAGCUUCUACUUGAUGUGAGAGUGGGCGCUGAGUCCGUUUUCGUCCUUGGAGUUUAUCAGCCGCCAAGAGAGGGAGUCUCCUCACAUUAGAGGAUGCUCUGUUGACUAAAGUUAUGCAAUGAUAUAACCACAUAAUUUAUAAUUACGUAACACCUCAUCAGAGAACUUGAUAUGCUGAAAUUACGACAAAGACUAAAGUACUCAAUACUAUGUGAAACCUACAAAAUAAUUGUGGAGGGUACUGGUCCGGAAUAUUUGAGAAAAAUACUUGUAUCUUUCACAUAGGUUCAUCAGAAGGACACUUGGUCUCACCGCUGCUUUCUCUAGAUUCCGUUGGAUAAUCUUUAUCAGAGUUGAAAAUUCUCAACAAAGGAAAAAAACUGAUGAACGUGCCAACUCCACUGAUACCUCACCAUAUUAUUUGUUUUACAUAGAGCAAUCCAAUAUUUUUUAUACACUUAUGAAGUGUUUUAUCAAUAAACAUAAUAAUAAUAAGUGUAUUUGAACAAACGAAAUUAACACUUGAAAAGUAAUGUUGUCUGUUUAUGUAAAGAGUUUGUCACAUUUUAUACUCUGAAAUUGUUUUAUAUAAUUUCAUUAUAAUUCUCAUAAUGUGUAAUAGAUUGCAUAAAAUUGUUAUUAAAAA